UACGUAGGUGGCGAGCGUUAUCCGGAAUGAUUGGGCGUAAAGGGUGCGCAGGCGGCACGGCAAGCCGGCGGUCAAAUCGCGGGGCUCAACCCCGCCCAGCCGUCGGAACUGCCGGGCUAGAGUGGGCGAGAAGUGCGCGGAAUGCGUGGUGUAGCGGUGAAAUGCAUAGAUAUCACGCAGAACUCCGAUUGCGAAGGCAGCGCACCGGCGCCCUACUGACGCUCAGGCACGAAAGCGUGGGUAUCGAACAGG
RNAcentral lists this ribosomal RNA (252 nucleotides) under uncultured bacterium. RNAcentral's name for it is "partial 16S ribosomal RNA". It matches the Rfam family "Bacterial small subunit ribosomal RNA", at positions 524 to 776 of the family's 1533-position model. The record is from RNAcentral.